Molecule: ribosomal RNA, 499 nt
Filed under: uncultured bacterium
Lineage: Bacteria
Description: bacterial SSU rRNA
Rfam family: Bacterial small subunit ribosomal RNA
Source: RNAcentral
CGAACGCUGGCGGCGUGCUUAACACAUGCAAGUCGAACGCGAACGUCUUCUUCGGAAGGCUAGUAGAGUGGCGCACGGGUGAGUAACGCGUAAGUAAUCUACCCUCGCAUUCGGGAUAACGCAGCGAAAGGUGUGCUAAUACCGAAUACGUCUAUUUUAAUAUCUUUUUUUUAGAGAAAGGUGGCCUCUUCAUGAAAGCUACUGUGCGGGGAGGAGCUUGCGUACCAUUAGCUAGUUGGUAGGGUAACGGCCUACCAAGGCAACGAUGGUUAGCGGGUCUGAGAGGAUGAUCCGCCACACUGGAACUGAAACACGGACCAGACUCCUACGGGAGGCAGCAGUGAGGAAUAUUGCGCAAUGGGGGCAACCCUGACGCAGCGACGCCGCGUGGAUGAUGAAGGCCUUCGGGUUGUAAAAUCCUGUCAGAUGGGAAGAAGUGCUAUAUGGUUAAUAUCUGUAUAGUUUGACGGUACCAUCAAAGGAAGCACCGGCUAACUCC